GACCUGGUGGUGGAGGGUAUCACAUCCGCACUCAGUGAAGAAUAAAUCUAACUGGCAUUUCUGCGGAAGUCCCUGGUUCGAAUCCAGGCUAGGUCG
This is a non-coding RNA of Mycena vulgaris, 96 nucleotides long. Lineage: Eukaryota; Fungi; Basidiomycota; Agaricomycetes; Agaricales; Mycenaceae. The record is from the annotation of a GenBank genome assembly.